RNAcentral lists this ribosomal RNA (110 nucleotides) under Streptococcus suis. The record is from RNAcentral. Lineage: Bacteria; Bacillati; Bacillota; Bacilli; Lactobacillales; Streptococcaceae.
GACGAUAGCCUAGGAGAUACACCUGUACCCAUGCCGAACACAGCAGUUAAGCCCUAGAACGCCUGAAGUAGUUGGGGGUUGCCCCCUGUUAGAUACGGUAGUCGCUUAGC